RNAcentral lists this ribosomal RNA (331 nucleotides) under uncultured eukaryote. RNAcentral describes it as "partial 18S ribosomal RNA". It matches the Rfam family "Eukaryotic small subunit ribosomal RNA", at positions 1470 to 1796 of the family's 1831-position model. The record is from RNAcentral.
CCCUUAGAUGUUCUGGGCCGCACGCGCGCUACACUGUUCGACGCAGCGAGUCUUAACCUUGACCGAAAGGUUUGGGUAAUCUUCAGCAAAGUCGAACGUGAUGGGGAUCGAUCAUUGCAAUUAUUGAUCGUGAACGAGGAAUUCCUAGUAAGUGCAAGUCAUCAGCUUGCGCUGAUUACGUCCCUGCCCUUUGUACACACCGCCCGUCGCUACUACCGAUUGAAUGGUUUAGUGGGAUCUCUGGAUUGACGCUGGCUAGGGGGCGACCCUUGGCCAGGCUGUCGAGAAACUGCUCAAACUUGAUCAUUUAGAGGAAGUAAAAGUCGUAACA